ACAUAAUCCAAAAUAAUUAAUUAGAUAAAUUAAUAAGAUGCAUAAGAAAUCGAGUUUGAGAACAAUUAACAUCAACCUACCCUGUGCAUUAAGGCAAUCAAAGCACAUGAAAAUACAUACAAAUGAAAGUGAGAAGAUCAUUAAGACAGUAAUUUUGCAAUGAUGCCACUAUCACUCCAAGGACGGUUGGGUGCGGGCACAGCAUACAUUACUCCAUAAUUUGCCCUAUAAACAAAUUGCCUAUCAAUGCUCGUCUCGAGCAGAGCUUCAAAGCUGAGCCCGAGGCCAUUGUUUUAGAAGGGAGAUCCAAAUGGUGCAGUUCAUAACAAAUGAAAAGAAAAUGGGAAAUUAGUGAGAAGAUUGAAAACAAGGCCAAAGCAAAGGAAGUUUUCCUAAAUCUUGUCAUGCAGCGUGACAACCAAGUCAUGUGCAUCGUCAAGAAGCUUCCAUACAUCCAAUUGUCCAGCCAUAUUGUUGCAGUCUUUCAUGAUAUCAUCAACACUGCUAUACUUCUCGAUGAUCAGUUUCCUCCUCUGCAAUACACAGGCCGCUAUUGCAUAAAGCAGCAGAUCAUCAGUAGGAGGGGCUCUCAACCUCAUCCUUCCCCAGGCAGACUUGGCAAUCCCUGCACAUAUUGCUGCUUGGUCAGCCCACAUCACCUCCCAUAGGCACAGUGUCUGCUCAAGGUUUAACUCCCUCCUGAAAAGAACCACCACCAUUCUGUACACAAAAAAGCAGUCCUCUGCUUGGAGAUUCUCUAGGUGCUUGUAAAGAUGGAUAUCCUUGCACUUAAUUAUCUUGGCAACAAUACCAAGUUGCCUCCGGAUUCCCACUUCAUCAAGCCGGAAAUUAUGCCUGGCCUUCUUCAUGAAGCCCACAAAGCACCAAAAGGCUUCAAAAUCCUCCUCCAUCACUGCAAUAAUUGGAGAAAGCAAAUCACUCAUUCCCUGACAGUAACCAAUCUCAGGAUCAUAUAGUGCAUAGGCCUCAAGGAUAGCCACCAGGCGAGUAGCAUGAAAGAUCCUGCAAGGCUCCAAGUGAUCAUAAUCCUUCAGACCAACAUUCUCAGCCAAUCGCCGUGCCUUCAGCUCUGAUAUUGCAGCCUGAGUUGGAGAGUACAUGAUCCAUUCAGCAUUUGCCCGCACGGCAUCAACCCGAAUGAUUCUCUGCCAUGUGGCAAAAUUUUCGUCUUUUUGGAAAUCACUUUCUGCAUCAGGAUGGGAAUUCUCCAGUGCAGGCACGCUAAGAUCCUUUUCUUUGAUAGUUUCAGUUGCAAUGAAAAGUUCCAUGUUUUCAGGUUCUUCAGAUGAGUCAGAGUCGGUAGAAUCAGUGUUACCAGCAAAGACUUCUUCACAGGUGAGCACACUCCUGUCACAAUCUUCCAAUAUCAAGUCAGAUCUCUGAAGAGUUUGAUCACAGUUAUCUGAACCCUCAGCAGCUAAGCUGCAUCCCUCAGUGAAAGAUGACUUUAUAGCACUAACAUCAUCUUCAAAUUCAGGAGAAUCAAUAACUUGAUUAAACUCUCCGCUGUUCUCAUUGUUGCUGGUUACAGUAGUUUCCUUCAACUUCAAGCUCUUCUCUCUUUGUUUAAGAUUUUGCUGGCACCGUUUCUGCAGAUUCUCAUAUUCUUUCCUCUUCUGAGCUCGAGUAUGAUCUCUUUCUUCCUUGGAACUAUUCACAUCAUAGCUGUUGAACAAAAAAGGAAAAAAGAGUCAAUACACAUGGAGAAAUGCUAAUGGAUAUGUGCUAUCAAUCGAAAAUCCAGAAGAACAAACUAAAGAAAAUCAUAAAUUACAAUUGCAUUUGGCAAAGGGCAGAAUGAUAAAUUUCAAGGAAUUUUCUAUAAGAACAGCAACAUUUAGUAGACAUAAAGGUAGCAACUGCAUUAUUCUUGUCCAGACAACAACUCUGCUGAGUUGCUCAACCAUUGAGAUUUCAUUAAUGAUUGAGGUCUCCCACUAAACUUAUACCUCCAUUCCAUCCUUAUCCCGUGACACAUCAAAUGACGUGAAUAAAAACGGGAGCUAUCAUACAAACCCAUUGUUGUUCUAUAGCUCAAGUUGACGUUGACAGCUCACUGAACAACUGCAGUUUACUUGAUCUUGAGUCCAUCAAAGAAUGAUAGAAACACGAAUUUGUCAAGACCUAUGCACUUGCAAAGAUCCAUAAGACCAACAACAGUUCUGGGCAAAGGUAAGCUAGAAAAGACUAUAAAGUUGAGGAAAAUAAUAAUAAGCUGGAAACAGGGAGGAUAAGGACAUCAUAAACCAGGUAGGAUUUCAUAGCAUUAUUAAAGACCAGGAUUGCCACUGAGAACCGAACUAGAAGUUCAGUAAAAUGACAGAAAACGUCUCCACUAAAUAAAACAUAUAAUACUUUCUUUGUAAUGGAAAACAUCUCUUCAUCAUACAAACAUAUGCUGCUUCAAUGUUAUGAAAACAAUACUGAACUAUUGCAUGAAUAAACAAUUCUUACACUCCAAGGAGAAACGGCCAAACUUCUGCUCUAAUACUUGGAUCAACACCUCCACUGCGGGCUUUCUUUAAAAACUUAACACCACCAUCAUAGAGUUUUCCAUCAGCUGUAAAUAAACUCUUCCAUUGCUUUGGGAGAAGUGCGAGUUUUCUUCUUCUAAAUGACCAAGGUGAUUUAUGACCACCCCGAUCAAUGGAAACUGGUGAGGAAGAUGAUGAUGGGGACGACGACGAAGAUAAGAAAGCAACUACUAGUAAGACUGAUCGCAAAUGAAUCCACGACGACGACGACGAAGACGACGGUGACGAGGAAUUUGACGGCGAAGAAGAUGAAGUGUGGCUUCGCCUUAGGGCUCUCAUUAAUGGUUUCCGUUCCGUUAACAUCUAUCUAUCUUAUCUAUAAAUUCUUUGGUGGUGAAAAUGAAGAAGAGACCAAUUUUGAAUUUUGGAGCUUUGGAUUUGAAAUCUUAUAGGAUUUUAAGAACUUUUUUGUCUUGAAUUUUUUUUUUCUUCUUUACCUACGAGAAUAGACGACGGUGGCGGCCAAGGCGAGACCAGCCAUGGCCGUCACGGCGAUAGCUAUACCAACAUUAGAAGAAGUCACCGAAACACCCCAGAACCAGCCGCCGGCUCCACCUCCGACGAACGACGCACUCCUCCCGCUCCCACCAAUUCCAGUGCUAGCUUCAGCGAACACGAUCCAUUUCCCAGCGCCACCAACGCUCCUGCUGCUGCCACUGCCCGAGGCAGAGAAGAGCAUCAAUGAGAUGAGCAACAGCGAAAUUACAGUAAAGCCCCUUGGUUGUUCUUGCUUCUGCUUCACCACCAUCACCAAAGUGAGAACCCUUGAGGCCUUGGGGCCAGGACUUUCCCCUCUCUCUCUCUCUCACUUGGUGGAGCUUUAUUUUACUUUCUUUCCAAAGUAAUUAUAGCAACUAAGAAGAAACUAAAAUAUUAAUUUCCAUUACCAUAUCUGUAUGGAUCUCCCCCAGAGAUGGAUAUGUUCGUAGACUAGAGGACGGUGGCACGGCCCAACUUGCUCUCCAUGGAAAUUGUUUAAUUGGGCAAGUAGACUUAAAAAGGUAAAAUUUCUGUAAAAAUAAUCUUGUUGGGUUACGUAUUAUUAAAUUAGUUUUGUUCAAGAGGAAUAAUUU
RNAcentral lists this unclassified non-coding RNA (3628 nucleotides) under Hevea brasiliensis (rubber tree). The record is from RNAcentral. Lineage: Eukaryota; Viridiplantae; Streptophyta; Magnoliopsida; Malpighiales; Euphorbiaceae.